UACCAGCAGCUUUUCCAGAUUAUCACCA
This 28-nucleotide small RNA is filed under the name Bombyx mori (domestic silkworm). RNAcentral's name for it is "ovarian small RNA-20569". Lineage: Eukaryota; Metazoa; Arthropoda; Insecta; Lepidoptera; Bombycidae. The record is from RNAcentral.